Molecule: ribosomal RNA, 323 nt
Filed under: Arenicola cristata
Lineage: Eukaryota; Metazoa; Annelida; Polychaeta; Arenicolidae
Description: eukaryotic LSU rRNA
Rfam family: Eukaryotic large subunit ribosomal RNA
Source: RNAcentral
CCAAGGAGUCUAACACGUGUGCGAGUCAUGGAGCCGUACGAAACUCAAAGGCGCAAUGAAAGUGAAGGCUGGUCCUCGCGUCCGGCCUAAGUAGGACGGUCUUUUUUAGCCGCUCUUCGGGGCGGCGGGGCAAGCACUACCGGCCCGUCUCGAUCCCCACCGUGGGAUGAGGGCGGAGCAAGAGCACAUGCGUUGGGACCCGAAAGAUGGUGAACUAUGCCUGAGCAGGACGAAGCCUGAGGAAACUCUGGGGAAGUCCGUAGACGAUUCUGACGUGCAAAUCGAUCGUCAACUUUGGUAUAGGGGGAAAGACUAAUCGAACC